GACGAACGCUGGCGGCGUGCUUAACACAUGCAAGUCGAACGGAAAGGCCCUGCUUUUGUGGGGUGCCCGUGUGGCGAACGGGUGAGUAACACGUGAGUAACCUGCCCUAGACGUUGGGAUAACUUCAGGAAACUGGGGCUAAUACCGGAUAGAAGCUCCUGCCGCAUGGUGGGGGUUGGAAAGUUUCGGCGGUUGGGGAUGGACUCGCGGCUCAUCAGCUUGUUGGUGGGGUAGUGGCUUACCAAGGCUUUGACGGGUAGCCGGCCUGCGAGGGUGACCGGCCACAAUAGGACUAAGGUACGGCCCAGACUGCAACGGGAGGCAGCAGUGGGGAGUCUUGCACAAUGAGCGGGAGCCUGAUGCAGCGACGCCGCGUGCGGAAUGACGGCCUUCGGGUUGUGAACCGCUUUCGCCUGUGACGAAGCGUGAGUGACGGUAAUGGGUAAAGAAGCACCGGCUAACUACGUG
Molecule: ribosomal RNA, 468 nt
Filed under: uncultured bacterium
Lineage: Bacteria
Description: partial 16S ribosomal RNA
Rfam family: Bacterial small subunit ribosomal RNA
Source: RNAcentral